RNAcentral lists this ribosomal RNA (491 nucleotides) under uncultured bacterium. RNAcentral's name for it is "bacterial SSU rRNA". It matches the Rfam family "Bacterial small subunit ribosomal RNA", at positions 29 to 518 of the family's 1533-position model. The record is from RNAcentral.
AUGAACGCUGGCGGCGUGCUUAAUACAUGCAAGUCGAACGAAGCGCUUACAGCCGAUCCUCGGGUGAAGCAGUUGUGACUUAGUGGCGGACGGGUGAGUAACGCGUGGGUAACCUGCCUUAUGCAGGGGGAUAACAGUUAGAAAUGACUGCUAAUACCGCAUAAGCGCACAGCACCGCAUGAUGCAGUGUGAAAAAGAUUUAUCGGCAUAAGAUGGACCCGCGUCUGAUUAGGUAGUUGGUGAGGUAACGGCCCACCAAGCCUGCGAUCAGUAGCCGACUUGAGAGAGUGAUCGGCCACAUUGGGACUGAGACACGGCCCAGACUCCUACGGGAGGCAGCAGUAGGGAAUAUUGCACAAUGGGGGAAACCCUGAUGCAGCGAACCGCCGCGUGAGUGAUUGAAGCAUUUCGGUGCGUAAAGCUCUAUCAGCAGGGAAGAUAAUGACGGUACCUGACUAAGAAGCCCCGGCUAACUACGUGCCAGCAGCCGC